ACGAACUAGAACGCGUUUAUAUGCUGAAGAGAAAUUAAAUAAACGCCUAGCAGUCGUUUACUGCUUUGGUCAUAGCAGCCCAAGGGCAGGUGUAAAAAUGGAGUGUCGUACAUUAUUCAUCGGACAUUGGUUUUGAUCUAUUGCUACGUUCCUGAAAUCGUUUACUCACGAGCAGCGCUUCACAGGAAGGACGGAUCAUCCACAGAUGGCCAAUUUUUGGUUCCUGCUGAGGUGUUUUCACAAAGUACCUGUGUAGUAUUAAAAUAACGCAUCAGUACGGAACAGUGGCAGAGGCGAAUUGUUGGUUUAAACGUAAGAUAAUGGCGGAAAUCACUCACGCUUUCAUACUCAAGUUGUGCCGGAUAGAGUUUUGCCAUGAUUUAAUAGCAAACUUCCGAUAGUAUGGAUAGUUUUCCAUAAUAAACGAGUAUAUUUUGCAAAGCGGCAACAUUUUCUGUGGUGAUUCGUGAAUGGCUUGCACGAUAAGCUGCGAAUAGCUGUACGGUGGUCUUUCGCUACUGACUGGGCGCUUCUCCGUUUCAUCAGCUGGUAACGAAGAAACUAUCUGAAACCGAAAAGAGAUGCAAGAGAGAAAAACAUUUUCAUUCCAACUAGUUGCGAACAGUGUUAACCGUGUGUAUUACUCACCUUUAUACUAUUGAGGUUUGCAGUGCCGAAGUCAUAUAUAUCGCUUGAAAGAAAGUGCUGCAUGUUGUCCACAUCGGUCACAGGAAGGGCGGGACUUUCGUUUAUCAAACUUUUAAAAUGAAUUACUGUGUCUGUGCUUGGAAAGCGAAUGAUGCAACUGUGAAAUCAAUUCGUACAGGUAUCAUAAACACAGCAACGUAGAACACAAUACACAAUGUGGGAAAUCUUACUGUUGCGGCAGUAUGUACGGUUGGUCCCGUUUUCUGCAAAACGUUUCGUCAAUCACUAUUCCAUUCUUGCUCAGGCACAGUAGCGUAAAAUUUCCAUCCGAAUCGUACUUGAGGCUGAAGUGUUUGCGUGAAAUGCGUGUGUUGGAACCGGCAGGAAAUCCAACCGACUUUGCCGAACUGAUUGUCCGACCAACUUUGGUUGUCUUGUCGUUCAGCAGCAUCACAUAAUCGACACUGGUUAGUUGUGCGAUCAAGCCGGGGUAAAAGGCUUGAUAUGAGCUUACCACUGAUCGUAAAUUGUUGUUCGACGAUUGGCAAAUCGACAAACAAUCGCAGCUCAUUAUUAGUUCUAAAAUAAGCAAUAAGAAUAAAAUAAUUACGAAACCAUCCUAAAACAUCAGACAACUAUGGAUACAAUUCGCCGGACGAAGUACUGCUGCGACUCGCAUCUCCUAAAAGUUUAAUUAAGCUUUCCGAUUAGGUGACGGUUCGCACAUUUUUGCUGCAUGGAUCUUUAUGCGUACUAUAUAAGAUCCUUUACACGAUAUCACCUAGGAAGGCAUCUCGCUGACUGAUGUACAAUCGAUCAGCGAACUACAAACAACAGCGUGAGCUCGACUCCAAAGCUGGAACAAAUUCCGUUUUAAAGUAUCGAAAGAAUAGCUGAUCGAAUCAAAGCCUCGUUCUGGACAUACGACCAUUCAGCAGCUUCCUCGAAGGUCACCUUUGCAAUAAAGCUCAGCUGGGAAACAUAAUGUUAGUAAUUGACGACGGUCUCGAGGUGAUUUUGGAAGAAUUUUGCUACAUUGGCACGAUCGUUACUCCAGACGACAGCCUAAGCGGCGUUGGUCCAAGGAAUCAAGCCUGCAAUGGGCUUUACAAAAUCCUGCGAUCAAGAAGACUCUAGCAACACAGAAAAUGCACCGCCUUAUCGCACCUUGGAUGCGUCUGGAGCGUGGAGCAGAAGAUUGAACCGGGAGUUGUAGAGGAUGGAUGGCGAGGUUGUUGGUAGCAUCAAAUGAAGCGUCUAACAUGUCGGAAAAUACCUUUGUUAUCUGCUACUUUUCAAUUCCUCCUGUAUUGGACGUAUCCCUGUACUUCCUUCACAGUAAUUCACUGAAAUAAGACGGAGCGGUCAACACUAUCAACUGGGCAAACGGGUCAAUUCACCAGCAGCUGCUGCACUUACCUCAAAAUACUUUGGCGCAGCCUACUACAUAGCUGAGCCACAAAGCACAAAACGUGUGUGCAGUACACCAAGCAGCAGCAGCCGUCAGUCGGCGCGUUCUGUUUGAUUUUGACAGUUCGGUAAAAUCGCCUACUUUGUGCGUACCGUCUUUUGGCGCGCGUUUGCUUUCGACGAACGUGGUGCUGAAGUCGGACGGACUCCUAGUUUAGUCCUGUGCGGUAUAUACCAUUUUGCCUGUUCAUAGUGUGUGCCACAAAGACCGGAUAGAAGGAUUCCCAGCACCAAACGCAGCCACUUUCUCAACCAGGAGCAGGCGACCCAGCAGCCAGCCAGUAAGCCUUCAACCGGUGCUGGAGCAACUGUUCUCAGACGCAACGCAAGGGUGUCAGUGUUUUGGGAUGAAAUAUAUUUUUUUGUAACAAAUUUA
Molecule: long non-coding RNA, 2494 nt
Organism: Anopheles stephensi (Asian malaria mosquito)
Lineage: Eukaryota; Metazoa; Arthropoda; Insecta; Diptera; Culicidae
Exons: 3
Source: RefSeq, a predicted model, not a curated record